This 268-nucleotide ribosomal RNA is filed under the name uncultured eukaryote. RNAcentral's name for it is "partial 28S ribosomal RNA". It matches the Rfam family "Eukaryotic large subunit ribosomal RNA", at positions 1 to 266 of the family's 3401-position model. The record is from RNAcentral.
UUGACCUCGGAUCAGGUAGGGAUACCCGCUGAACUUAAGCAUAUCAAUAAGCGGAGGAAAAGAAGCCAACAGGGAUUGCCCCAGUAACGGCGAGUGAAGCGGCAAAAGCUCAAAUUUGAAAGCUAGCACCUUCGGUGUUCGCGUUGUAAUUUGAAGAUAGUUUCCUUGAGUAGUCCUUUAUCUAUGUUCCUUGAAACAGGACGUCAUAGAGGGUGAGAACCCCGUAUGAUUUUGGAUACUACUCUUUGUGGGAUUCUAUCGAAGAGUC